Molecule: ribosomal RNA, 497 nt
Filed under: uncultured bacterium
Lineage: Bacteria
Description: partial 16S ribosomal RNA
Rfam family: Bacterial small subunit ribosomal RNA
Source: RNAcentral
GAUGAACGCUGGCGGCGUGCCUAAUACAUGCAAGUCGAGCGAACAGACGAGGAGCUUGCUCCUCUGACGUUAGCGGCGGACGGGUGAGUAACACGUGGAUAACCUACCUAUAAGACUGGGAUAACUUCGGGAAACCGGAGCUAAUACCGGAUAAUAUAUUGAACCGCAUGGUUCAAUAGUGAAAGACGGUUUUGCUGUCACUUAUAGAUGGAUCCGCGCCGCAUUAGCUAGUUGGUAAGGUAACGGCUUACCAAGGCGACGAUGCGUAGCCGACCUGAGAGGGUGAUCUGCCCCACUGGAACUGAGACACGGUCCAGACUCCUACGGGAGGCAGCAGUAGGGAAUCUUCCGCAAUGGGCGAAAGCCUGACGGAGCAACGCCGCGUGAGUGAUGAAGGUCUUCGGAUCGUAAAACUCUGUUAUUAGGGAAGAACAAAUGUGUAAGUAACUAUGCACGUCUUGACGGUACCUAAUCAGAAAGCCACGGCUAACUACGUG